UCCCUGGAGGACUAGCGGUUAGGCCUCGGCGUUCUCACCGCCGCGGCCCGGGUUUGAUUCCCGGCCAGGGAA
This 72-nucleotide transfer RNA is filed under the name Pangasianodon gigas (Mekong giant catfish). RNAcentral describes it as "tRNA-Glu". It matches the Rfam family "tRNA". Rfam says of the family: Transfer RNA (tRNA) molecules are approximately 80 nucleotides in length. Their secondary structure includes four short double-helical elements and three loops (D, anti-codon, and T loops). The record is from RNAcentral. Lineage: Eukaryota; Metazoa; Chordata; Actinopteri; Siluriformes; Pangasiidae.